Molecule: ribosomal RNA, 253 nt
Filed under: uncultured bacterium
Lineage: Bacteria
Description: partial 16S ribosomal RNA
Rfam family: Bacterial small subunit ribosomal RNA
Source: RNAcentral
UACGAAGGGUGCAAGCGUUACUCGGAAUUACUGGGCGUAAAGCGUGCGUAGGUGGUUCGUUAAGUCUGAUGUGAAAGCCCUGGGCUCAACCUGGGAAUGGCAUUGGAAACUGGCGGGCUAGAGUGCGGUAGAGGGUAGUGGAAUUCCCGGUGUAGCAGUGAAAUGCGUAGAGAUCGGGAGGAACAUCCGUGGCGAAGGCGACUGCCUGGACCAGCACUGACACUGAGGCACGACAGCGUGGGGAGCAAACAGG